Molecule: transfer RNA, 88 nt
Filed under: Bernardetia litoralis DSM 6794
Lineage: Bacteria; Pseudomonadati; Bacteroidota; Cytophagia; Cytophagales; Bernardetiaceae
Also listed under: 2 other names
Description: tRNA-Ser (GGA) (tRNA-Ser-GGA-1-1)
Rfam family: tRNA
About the family: Transfer RNA (tRNA) molecules are approximately 80 nucleotides in length. Their secondary structure includes four short double-helical elements and three loops (D, anti-codon, and T loops). Further hydrogen bonds mediate the characteristic L-shaped molecular structure. tRNAs have two regions of fundamental functional importance: the anti-codon, which is responsible for specific mRNA codon recognition, and the 3' end, to which the tRNAs corresponding amino acid is attached (by aminoacyl-tRNA synthetases). tRNAs cope with the degeneracy of the genetic code in two manners: having more than one tRNA (with a specific anti-codon) for a particular amino acid; and 'wobble' base-pairing, i.e. permitting non-standard base-pairing at the 3rd anti-codon position.
Source: Rfam by way of RNAcentral
AGAGAGGUGUCCGAGUGGCUUAAGGAGCUCGCUUGGAAAGCGAGUAUGCCCCAAAAGGGCAUCGGGGGUUCGAAUCCCUUCCUCUCUG